This 749-nucleotide ribosomal RNA is filed under the name Cryptosporidium sp. JFM 15. RNAcentral describes it as "bacterial SSU rRNA". It matches the Rfam family "Eukaryotic small subunit ribosomal RNA", at positions 243 to 1024 of the family's 1831-position model. Lineage: Eukaryota; Apicomplexa; Conoidasida; Eucoccidiorida; Cryptosporidiidae. The record is from RNAcentral.
UUGGUGACUCAUAAUAACUUUACGGAUCACAUUUUUUAUGUGACAUAUCAUUCAAGUUUCUGACCUAUCAGCUUUAGACGGUAGGGUAUUGGCCUACCGUGGCUAUGACGGGUAACGGGGAAUUAGGGUUCGAUUCCGGAGAGGGAGCCUGAGAAACGGCUACCACAUCUAAGGAAGGCAGCAGGCGCGCAAAUUACCCAAUCCUAAUACAGGGAGGUAGUGACAAGAAAUAACAAUACAGAACUUUAAAAGUUUUGUAAUUGGAAUGAGUUAAGUAUAAACCCCUUUACAAGUAUCAAUUGGAGGGCAAGUCUGGUGCCAGCAGCCGCGGUAAUUCCAGCUCCAAUAGCGUAUAUUAAAGUUGUUGCAGUUAAAAAGCUCGUAGUUGGAUUUCUGUUAUUAAUUUAUAUUAUAAUACGUAUUUGUAUUUAUUAUAAGUAUUAACAUAAUUCAUAUUACUUUUUAAUUAUAUGAAACUUUACUUUGAGAAAAUUAGAGUGCUUAAAGCAGGCUAUUGCCUUGAAUACUCCAGCAUGGAAUAAUAAUAAAAGAUUUUUAUUCUUCUUUUAUUGGUUCUAGAAUAAAAAUAAUGAUUAAUAGGGACAGUUGGGGGCAUUUGUAUUUAACAGUCAGAGGUGAAAUUCUUAGAUUUGUUAAAGACAAACUACUGCGAAAGCAUUUGCCAAGGAUGUUUUCAUUAAUCAAGAACGAAAGUUAGGGGAUCGAAGACGAUCAGAUACCGUCGUAGU